Molecule: transfer RNA, 73 nt
Filed under: Actinomycetes bacterium
Lineage: Bacteria; Bacillati; Actinomycetota; Actinomycetes
Also listed under: 1 other name
Description: Actinobacteria bacterium tRNA-Glu
Rfam family: tRNA
About the family: Transfer RNA (tRNA) molecules are approximately 80 nucleotides in length.
Source: RNAcentral
GCCCCGUUCGUCUAGAGGCCUAGGACACUACCCUCUCAAGGUAGCGGCACGGGUUCGAAUCCCGUACGGGGUA